This 380-nucleotide ribosomal RNA is filed under the name uncultured eukaryote. RNAcentral describes it as "partial 18S ribosomal RNA". It matches the Rfam family "Eukaryotic small subunit ribosomal RNA", at positions 592 to 976 of the family's 1831-position model. The record is from RNAcentral.
CAAUAGCGUAUAUUAAAGUUGUUGCGGUUAAAAAGCUCGUAGUUGGAUUUCUGCCGAGGACGACCGGUCCGCCCUCUGGGUGUGUAUCUGGUUUGGCCUGGGCAUCUUCUUGGAGAACGUGGCUGCACUUGACUGUGUGGUGCGGUGUCCAGGACUUUUACUUUGAGGAAAUUAGAGUGUUUCAAGCAGGCACACGCCUUGAAUACAUUAGCAUGGAAUAAUAAGAUAGGACCUCGGUUCUAUUUUGUUGGUUUCUAGAGCUGAGGUAAUGAUUAAUAGGGAUAGUUGGGGGCAUUCGUAUUUAACUGUCAGAGGUGAAAUUCUUGGAUUUGUUAAAGACGGACUACUGCGAAGGCAUUUGCCAAGGAUGUUUUCAUUGA